Molecule: non-coding RNA, 3126 nt
Organism: Malus domestica (apple)
Lineage: Eukaryota; Viridiplantae; Streptophyta; Magnoliopsida; Rosales; Rosaceae
Source: RefSeq, a predicted model, not a curated record
UGUGGUGUCUUCCACUUUUUUUUUUCCUCUUCUAUUUUCCACUUUUUCUCUUCCUCUUCUAUUUUCUCUCUGCCGUUCCGUUUCUCUCAGUUUUCCCGUCUGUCUUUUGAUUUCGAUUUCGAUCGGAUCUUCUCGAAGGUGUUUGGCGUUUUUUUCCCCUGUUUUGCGCGAACAAAUCGCUUCCAUUUAGGAAACAUUCUUCUUCCAGUUUUAGGGUUGUAUUCUGUCAGUUUCCAAGCUUUUUCUCCGUCAGGAAAUAUUCGGCUUCCAAUUUUAGGGUUUUAUUGCACGAUCUUGCAAACCUUUUCCGGAUUAGAUAUCAAGAGGAUUUGUGAAGUCCCUAUUAUGGGUGGGCAUAAAAACCUCAAACCGUAAAACCGCAUCGAACCAUAUAAAAAAAAAAAAACAGAAAAGAACCGUAUGAAAAAAAAAACAGAAAAGAAUCGAGUUGACCGGAAAAGUGAACUUUGAAUCAAAAACUGAACUAAACCGUUCAAAUCGAUUAUGGUUCUGGUUUCGAAUGAACAAGAACCAACCGAACCGUUUUAUUAAUAAUAAAUAAAUAAAUUAUAUACAUACACACAUGUCAUGGUAUAAAUAAGUAGGUUAAAAAAAUAGUUUCAUCAAAUUGCAAAGUAGUGGAUCAUCCCAAUUAGGGCUCACUCACCUCACCCUCACCUCACUCACGGCCUCACAUUCCCAUUCCUCCAUUUCACACAGCCGACCCCUCUUCCUUGUCGACAUUCUCCGUUGAUUUAUUCGUUAAUGGAGAGAGAGAGAGAGAGAGAGAGAGAGAGAGAGAGAUUCUUGUAACAAAAAAACCCAUUUAUCCAUUUCAUUAGCCGCUCCUUUUGCAAUCAAACCAAAAACACUUCUCCAAGGAAGGGGAAGCUGCUUUCUGCUGAUUUCAACUCUCAGUUACUGUCUCUUCAGAGGUUUUUGAUACCUAAAUUAAGCUUUGGUUCGCCCACAACUCAAACUCCCGCAGCGCAGACUUGUUGUGGACUCGGUUUCCAGAGUCAGGUCAUUUGGAGGCUCCCUGUACUGAGUUGUGUGACUUCUCAACUGAUCUUUCUUCAUUUGCUAUUUUAGGGAUGACGGACCAAACCCUUGAAUGCAUGAUGAUUUGGUGUUCAAAUAAUUUGGUAUUCGGAACCGUAAACCGGUAAGAAUCGAAUCGGAAUUGGUUUAGACAGAACCGUACGGUUCUAGUAAUAAAUUUAAGCGAAACUGUAUCGAACCGAACCGUUGAUAUUUUAAGGUUCCGGGUCUGGUUUAGGGGUGGAACCGCAUUGAACCGCAUUGAACCGCACCGUGCCCACCCCUAGUCACUGUGAUUUAAUGGUACUCAUGUUCAAUUUUUGGAUUUGAUUUGAAGGAAUUUCUUAAGAAGAAAGGUUAGGGUUUCUUGGUGAGUUCUUUGAGAUAUGGAGAAAAUUUUCAUUAUGACGGGAACACGAGUAGUACACUACGUGUUUUUAUGUAAGUGGUGAGAAAUUUUAUUUUUUAAGUUAUUAACUUUUUAACACAUAUAUCUCAUCAUUUAUAUAAUAACACGUGGUAUACCACACAGUGUACCAGUCACACUAAAAAAUCUCUCUGAGAUAUGGAUCUGGGUGGUUUUCUUUUGUUUAAAUCUGGGGCUUUUGUAGCUUGCGACUUGUAAAUGAAUCAAAUUUUUUUUUUUUUAUGAUUUCAGGAGAUUUAAUUUUUUUUAAUAUUGAUUUUCCUCAUCGGAACGACUUCAAGACCAUUAUCAUUAGCUAAGCCCUUGAUAGUAACGUCCAGUCACUCCAUUUGCCUUCCCGGAUUUUCUUCUCCCUCAGCUCCUUAGGGGACAUGAACAACUCCUUGUUUUCAGCUGGCUGAUACUCUUUUUGAAGCGACGGUGGUCCUUGAGGGUAGUGGCGGCGAGCCUCGGCCUCCUCCGCAGCUUGUCGAGAGUCAAUGUUCCUAGGGAGAUGGUAAACCAUUCCCUUCAGGUGCUACGGUUUCGAGACAUAGGCGUAACCGUGUUGAUGUUGGCCGUUCAGCUGCUCCAAGCUACUGUAUAGUGAAUACAGAGACUUUAGAUGCUUGACAUCUAUGCAAGAGGAGUUUUUCAAAGCAUUGCCACACUCCAUGAUAGUUUUCGAUAGUUUAGCUUGAGGAACAUGUUUAAAAAAGACCUUCGUAAGAAACAUUGUGGAUCAAAGAUGAAGGAAUGAGUAGAAUUUGAAAUUGGAGGGAAGUGUUACAUGUCACAAUUAGUUCAAAUUCUACUCAUUCCUUCAUCUUUGAUCCACCAUGUUUUUUACGAGGGUCUUUUUUAAACAUGUUCCUCAAGCUGAACUAUCGAAAACCAUCAUGGAGCGUGGCAAUGCUUUGAAAAACUUAUCUCGCACAGAUGCCAAGCAUCUCAAGUCUCUGUAUUCAUUAUACAGUAGCUUGCGCAGUUGAACGGGCAACACCAACACGGUUACGCCUACGUCUCAGAACCGCAACACCUGAAGGGAAUGGUUUACCAUCUCCCUAGGAAUAUUGUCGCUCGGCAAGCUGUGGAGGAAGCCGAGGCUUGCCGCCACUGCCUCAAGGACCACCACCGCUUCAAAAAGAGUACAAGUCAGCUAAAGACAAGGAAUUGUUCAUGUCCCCCAAGGAGCUGAGGGAGAAGAAAAUCCGGGAAGGCAAAUGGAGUGACUGGCCAUGGUAUGGGAGUUUGUGGUGGUGAGCAAGUGGCUUGAUCCCGGAAGAGAGCCACUAUCAAGGGCUUGGUUGAUGAUAAUGGUCUUGAAGUCGUUCCGGUGAGGAAAAUCAAUAUUAAAAAGUGAAGAACGAAGGCGUGCAUGGUAUAUGGAACUACAAUAAUUUGCAGUGAGCUGUGUUUCUUUCCAGCGAGUCAUUUCUUUUGAGUCAGUAUUGUCUUCAAAUCUCAGUUUUCAUUAAAUAAUUGUUGGUUAGGUUGAGUCCUCAGUCCUAAUCAUCAUAGGAGCGUAGCUAAUAGAGUGUAGAGGUUUAUGUCGUCGGCUUUGUGUCUCUAUGAGACCUUCCAAUUCCAUGGAAGAGGAGCACACUUGUUUAACAAAUGCGAUAUGAAAUUGUAUUAGUAUAAUAUUCUCUAUUUAUUUCUUUUCUAUGUUCUUUUAA